AUUGAACGCUGGCGGCAGGCCUAACACAUGCAAGUCGAGCGGAUGAAGGGAGCUUGCUCCUGGAUUCCGCGGCGGACGGGUGAGUAAUGCCUAGGAAUCUGCCUGGUAGUGGGGGAUAACGUCCGGAAACGGGCGCUAAUACCGCAUACGUCCUGAGGGUGAAAGUGGGGGAUCUUCGGACCUCACGCUAUCAGAUGAGCCUAGGUCGGAUUAGCUAGUUGGUGGGGUAAAGGCCUACCAAGGCGACGAUCCGUAACUGGUCUGAGAGGAUGAUCAGUCACACUGGAACUGAGACACGGUCCAGACUCCUACGGGAGGCAGCAGUGGGGAAUAUUGGACAAUGGGCGAAAGCCUGAUCCAGCCAUGCCGCGUGUGUGAAGAAGGUCUUCGGAUUGUAAAGCACUUUAAGUUGGGAGGAAGGGCAGUAAGUUAAUACCUUGCUGUUUUGACGUUACCAACAGAAUAAGCACCGGCUAACUUCGUG
Molecule: ribosomal RNA, 484 nt
Filed under: uncultured bacterium
Lineage: Bacteria
Description: partial 16S ribosomal RNA
Rfam family: Bacterial small subunit ribosomal RNA
Source: RNAcentral